This is a long non-coding RNA of Dermochelys coriacea (leatherback sea turtle), 1249 nucleotides long. RefSeq lists it as uncharacterized. Lineage: Eukaryota; Metazoa; Chordata; Testudines; Dermochelyidae. The record is from RefSeq and is a predicted model, not a curated record. The transcript has 3 exons.
CUUCCCUUUGGAGCUCAUCCAAAGCCUGUUGAAAUCACUGAAUGCUUUUCCAUUGAUUUCAGUUUAUUUUGGAUCUGGUCUCAAGUCAUCUUUUUUCCUAAGGGCAUUAAGAAGUUUGUGGUUGACGGCUGCAGAAUACUCAGUUUGAAGAGAAUGCUCCCUUGUGCAGACCUGCCAUAUAGCACUAGCUUCCUGGCAGCCCCCCCACGCUGGAUAAUGAGGAGAAGCAUGCUGAGGUUCUCGGAAAACCAUACCCAAGAUGCCUGCCCCAGCUCUACAGAGUCCUCUAGAGGGCAGCAGAGAGCAGCCACAGGGCAGCUUGAGAAAGAAGAGGAUGCUAAAGAAUGAGUUCUUCCUUGAGUUGCAGUAGGAGAAGAAGAGGGGCUCUGAGUGCCAGUGUUUCCAUGGAUGUGUGGAAAAUGGAGAAACAACACACACAUUGGGAUGAGGAGGGUUGGCAGGAGGAGGCUGAGAGGCUGAGGCUACAAGUGGAGAAGGAAAACCAACCCCUUACGGCUUUAGCCAAGACCUGCUGUGGGAAGGUGAAUCCACCAAGAAAAGGGGUUUUCCAAGCAGAAGCACAAAGUGCAAGAAAACUCCACGGACCGGUUGUUCUUCUUAGAUUUCCUGCUUCAGACUCGGGAUGUUCAGAAGAAGCUUCUGCUCUUCCAGGGACUUGUGUGAUUUGGGCCAGCCUUGGCGAUUUUGGUUCACCAGGGUAGAGGGAUGUCAAAUGUUUGUUUUAAAUUGGGCAGGGGAUGUGGCACCUCCCAACGAUCCAAACCUCAAUGCAAAACUCUACUGGAACCAUUGAACUUUGCCUGAGUUAUAGUCCAAAUCCCUAAUUUCACACCAGCCUAUUUAGCAAUGGGCCCGACCUUAGUCCCACCCCACCCCACAAGUUUCAGCCAAGUUUGGAUCCUGAACCAGACUUUAGCUCAAGCUCUUCUCUAAACCUCCUCCCCACUGAAGCUGUGGGGAGCACUUUGCUCAGAACUCGGCCCAAGUUCCCUCCAAAGAGUCACAAAUUCUCAACAAACCUGGCCUGAGUUUGAUGUUUUGAUCAAAAUCCUGGAAGCUGGUGAGUUUUUCUCAGUUCAGUAACAGGAUUUUCUCUGCUGUGGUGCUAAACUGCUCUAAUCUGAGUUUUGGUCUCCCCUGGGGCUGGAUUACAUCUGAAUGGAGCCUGGAUUCUGUGACAAAUAAGACUCUUCCUCCCACCUUGUCCCCUGCCCCCGGCUUUCCUCCA